CCCUCGACGCUUAACGGCAACAGAGGAUGAACAAGUAAAAGCUACGUGUUUGGCAGCCCAAGCCAUCGAAACCACCCCACUGACAAAUGCUAAACCAUGCAGGCGGUACACUUUAGUUUCCUAUCUGGUAUUCACCUGCUUUCCGGCACACACACACACACAAAAUCGUAUCCCCGACUACAAUGUUCUAUUUUCGUGACUGUAUUGAAUGCUAGUUUGUCAUUGGUAUGUUUGUUUGCUCCUUUUCCCUUUAGUAAAAAGUUCUUUUUUUGUUGUUAUAUUUACAAAUUGGCUGUUGUUCUUCGUGUGGUUACGCUUGUCAUUAUAGUGGUGUCACAUGAGACACUUCCAGUGUCCGUUGUUAAGAAUCAUCAAGUUUAUUAUGAUGUGGGAUAGGAAUGGGCAAACUGCUCCUUUGCCUAAGUUUGUACAGACCAGAUCAAGUAUGAAUGACAAAGUAGGAACGGAUAGCAAUAUUGACGAAAUCUAUACGGUGUCUCGUGUGACUGAUGACCACGAAUAUGCACACCCAAACCCAAUUAUAUUGUUAAGUUUUCAGUCAACUUGGCAUUUGUUCGUUGAUUAUACAUAAAAGAAAAUAAUCAAUAAUCUCAUGCAAGAAAAACCUCUGUGUGCAUGCUCAAAUUUUCUUUUGGAAGGAAACUAUUGUGUCACCUGUCACACGAGACACCGUCUACAUAGGCACGCAUUUGGUUGUUUUCUCGCGAAAGGUGAAUAAAAACGAUCCCAAAACUUC
Long non-coding RNA from Aplysia californica (California sea hare), 757 nucleotides. RefSeq lists it as uncharacterized. Lineage: Eukaryota; Metazoa; Mollusca; Gastropoda; Aplysiida; Aplysiidae. The transcript is spliced from 2 exons. The record is from RefSeq and is a predicted model, not a curated record.